UGUGUUAUUCCACGUUAACUGCCAGUCUGUGUGUUAUUAGAUGAUAAUGCUGAGUCUCUCUGGGCGGUCUUCUUGUUUCCUGUUUAAAUUUACUUUCACUUCCCAGAAGCUGUGACGCAGUUAUUUUUCUCCGUGUGGAGCUCCAGCUGGAGGACCCAUCAGAGACCAGACCCUACUGGACCUGGACCUGGACCCGGCUGUGUGUCCAUGCGGCCCCCGUUCCUUUAA
This is a long non-coding RNA of Etheostoma spectabile (orangethroat darter), 228 nucleotides long. RefSeq lists it as uncharacterized. The transcript has 2 exons. NCBI's taxonomy places the organism in Eukaryota, Metazoa, Chordata, Actinopteri, Perciformes, Percidae. The record is from RefSeq and is a predicted model, not a curated record.